This 1730-nucleotide long non-coding RNA is filed under the name Phaseolus vulgaris (common bean). Its description in RNAcentral is "long non-coding RNA (PVUL_LNC002393)". Lineage: Eukaryota; Viridiplantae; Streptophyta; Magnoliopsida; Fabales; Fabaceae. The record is from RNAcentral.
AUUUUCUUAGUCUUCCCAGCACUCAAUUAACCUUUAUGAUUUUUUAGAAUCGGAACAGCCAAGCAAGCAAAUAGUUCAAUUUGUGCAGAGAGCAUCACAAAAAAGGGUUUGCUAAUCGUGCCUCGUCCUUGCCCGAAUUCCUACCUCUCCAGGUACAAGCAAUUCUAAAGAUUAUCCAAUAGUUUUUGCAAUUUUGCCAGUGAUGGUUAAAUCAUCAUCAUCAUAAUAGUUAUAGGUAUUGAAUCCUUUUUCUAAUUAAUCAUAUCUAACACACUUUUCUCAUCUUCUCAAGAAGAGUGGUUGGUGGUUGGUAAUCGACAUGGAAGUAACGGCAAUCAAUCAUCGUUGUCAAUUGAAUUUCUGGUAUGGAAGAGGUGAAGUGACGUCUUUUAGCCGAUACUUUUACUUAUUCAACUCUUAUAUGCAUGUAUGUUCAUUCUCACUCUUUAGUCAUAAUUCAUAACAGCCCUCAAUUUCUGCAUAUCAGUGACUUUGAGCUUUCCCAAAUCGUUCAAUUGCUGCUUCAAAUUUAGAAUUUUUUUUCAUUAUUUGAUGGGGUGGCAUAAUUUAGGACCAGUUCCGACUACUUUAAAAUGUUUGAAGUAAAUUAUCUAUUUUGACAAUUUUCUAGUUUAUUUCACCUUCUUUAAUUUGCAUCAGCAUUAGUGUUUUUUUCUGGUGACGUUUUUCGAAGUUGCCUACUCAGCCUCAAAGCAAUUCUUAUAAGUACUGUUACAUCCGUGAAGCUUGUGGCAGCGAAGUAAUGUUUUAACCCUUUUUGUUUGUGCUAGGUUUCUGCAGGUUUAGUGUGUGAUGAUUAUUACUCUUUUAAGUCUGUGCGGUGGGAGAAGCCUUGUAUGAUGUAGAGGAAAGAGUGACAGAAAUAGCAGCGAUGAGCAUAAGGGUCAUAGCUGGUCUCAUUCACACUUGUCAUCUUAUUUCUCUCAACAAAAAUGCUCAAAGACAACGGGUACACUCUCAAAACAGUUCCACUGACACACUCAAUUAUAUAUAAGACAUCAGCUAGCUUCUUAUCCUCUUUAAUCUGAGAUUCUUUCUAAUCAAGGUUUUAAAUUGCAGCAACAAUGAGUUCACGGUGAGUCCAAAAACCUUGAGGCUAUAGAUCGGUUUUUGAAACCAUGUUUCUAGUUGGUCGAUCAUCGUUUCAGAAGUGUAGUGUAGUCCCAUUGAAUUUCGUCUUGCUUUAUCUCCUAAUUAUGAAUAAAUUUAGUUGUCUUUCAAUGACAUGUGCUUGCUAUAGUAUCAUUUCUUUAAAUUUGCACAAAUAUGACAAUCUUCCUGUGCAUUCUGAUGCCAUAUUCCUAUUUCAAUAAUUCUACUUUACAGAUCUUCUGCAAGAGUAACCAAAACAGGGUUUAUUCUGUCAACUUUGUGUAUUGGUAGUAUCGUACAUUCAAAACCAUCGGUGAUUCCCCUCCUCUCUUUUCCUCCCCCCUCCCUGGGUAGACAAUUAUAUUCUGGCUUCUUCCAAUGAAUUAUUUUGGUUACUUUGUACUUUUGCAAGGCAUUGAGGAUGGUUAGGCUCUAACCAUUUCUUGCACUUGCACAUGCCAAGUUUGGCUCCUUGAAACUUGAUCAUACUGUGACAGUUAAUUUUUUAAACUAUAAACUAAUUUACUCAUGUUUAUUUAACAGAGUGACCUGUAUUUGGUGCUAAAUGUUAUUUGUUCACAGUCUGUUACUUCAUUUAACGUGAUGCAAUUAUGCAG